CCGACCUUAGCUCAGUUGGUAGAGCGGAGGACUGUAGUAUGUGCAGAUUAAAUCCUUAGGUCGCUGGUUCGAAUCCGGCAGGUCGGA
RNAcentral lists this transfer RNA (87 nucleotides) under Oryza glumipatula. RNAcentral's name for it is "tRNA tRNA-Tyr". It matches the Rfam family "tRNA". Rfam says of the family: Transfer RNA (tRNA) molecules are approximately 80 nucleotides in length. Their secondary structure includes four short double-helical elements and three loops (D, anti-codon, and T loops). Further hydrogen bonds mediate the characteristic L-shaped molecular structure. tRNAs have two regions of fundamental functional importance: the anti-codon, which is responsible for specific mRNA codon recognition, and the 3' end, to which the tRNAs corresponding amino acid is attached (by aminoacyl-tRNA synthetases). tRNAs cope with the degeneracy of the genetic code in two manners: having more than one tRNA (with a specific anti-codon) for a particular amino acid; and 'wobble' base-pairing, i.e. permitting non-standard base-pairing at the 3rd anti-codon position. The record is from Rfam by way of RNAcentral. Lineage: Eukaryota; Viridiplantae; Streptophyta; Magnoliopsida; Poales; Poaceae.